This 253-nucleotide ribosomal RNA is filed under the name uncultured bacterium. RNAcentral's name for it is "partial 16S ribosomal RNA". It matches the Rfam family "Bacterial small subunit ribosomal RNA", at positions 524 to 776 of the family's 1533-position model. The record is from RNAcentral.
UACGUAGGGGGCAAGCGUUGUCCGGAAUCAUUGGGCGUAAAGAGCGCGUAGGCGGCCCGAUAAGUCCGCUGUGAAAGUCAAGGGCUUAACCCUUGAAUGCCGGUGGAAACUGUCGGGCUAGAGUCCGGAAGAGGCGAGUGGAAUUCCUGGUGUAGCGGUGAAAUGCGCAGAUAUCAGGAGGAACACCGAUGGCGAAGGCAGCUCGCUGGGACGGUACCGACGCUGAGGUGCGAAAGCGUGGGGAGCAAACAGG